This 74-nucleotide transfer RNA is filed under the name Pseudomonadota bacterium. RNAcentral's name for it is "tRNA-Cys". It matches the Rfam family "tRNA". From Rfam's summary of the family: Transfer RNA (tRNA) molecules are approximately 80 nucleotides in length. RNAcentral also lists the same sequence under 5 other names. Lineage: Bacteria; Pseudomonadati; Pseudomonadota. The record is from RNAcentral.
GGCCCGGUGGCAGAGUGGUCAUGCAGAGGACUGCAAAUCCUCGUACGUCGGUUCGAUUCCGGCCCGGGCCUCCA